Orcinus orca (killer whale) is the source of this 3412-nucleotide long non-coding RNA. RefSeq lists it as uncharacterized. NCBI's taxonomy places the organism in Eukaryota, Metazoa, Chordata, Mammalia, Artiodactyla, Delphinidae. The record is from RefSeq and is a predicted model, not a curated record. The transcript is spliced from 2 exons.
CCUCAUCUCACCAGUGCUGGUGGCCCCAUAGGGCUGGCCUGGAAGCAGAGCUGUGGGCAGCAGCACAGGGACCCACCAGAGAUGCCCUCUCUGGUAGUGUGUGUGUGUGUGUGUGUGUGUGUGUGUGUGUGUGUGCCCUGCCCACCACCCAUCCUUUCAGAGAGACACGAUGGGCACUGUCUUGGGAGAACUGGCCUAAAACAUUCAGGCCAGAUUUCUGGUCAGUUCUGCCCAUGUGGGUGGUUAGACUCUCUCCAGGACGGACAGUUAAAUGCAGUUCUCAUAGGGGAGGUCAGAGUUCCGGUAGCUCUAAACAGGUUCUUCCUCCCGACCCUCCAGUGGGAACGGACCGAUUUUUAGCCACAAGGCAGGACACCUCCGAGCUGACUCAGGGAUUCUAGUAUCUAUAGAACGGGAGCUAAGUUUGGGUGUUACUGUCAUAACUCAGGCUUGCUUCCAACCUCGGCAUGUCCCGUGUGUGUGUGUAUAGCCUGCUGUUGGAGUCUUCUCCCAAACCAAGCCUGAGCCCUGAAGGUAGCUGAGGCCGCCAUGCCUUUCUUCUAGUUUAGGCAGGCACCAGGGGGAAGCCCUUUCGGGGGAGUGACCAGAAUCCUUUCAGCCUUUCCAGGUCCAUCUCUCCUGAUGCCAGUGUCCCACCCCAGGUUCCCAAGGCCAGCCCUGCUCUGUUCUUCCAUCAUAACCACACAGCCUUAGUUCUCAAAAGCCAGGAGCCUGGGCCCCAACCUUCUCAAGAGAAGACAGACAUCCCAAGAAAGGACACAGGCCAGUUCUUUUCUGCCCCCAGGCUGCCCUAUUCAGAGCCUCCUUUGCUGGGUGAGGGUGCACAGGCUGUGAAGGGCGCCCAGCCUCGGAGAAUGGUUCCUGACAAUCCCUCAUGGGCAGAUGAGCUCAGAGCAAGUUUCUCAUCUUCCUCUGUCACCCCUAGUCCACCCCCAUCCCCGACCUGGUCCAACGUGGGGAGAGGGAGGAGGGGUCAGAGGACGGCAAGGCCAAGGGGGUGGUGUGAAGGGAGCAGUGGGUGCAGGGGAGCGAGUGGUGCGCAGGAGCCCUGUGGCGAUGAUGCCGGCACGUAGGCUGAUGCGGCUGCCUGGUGCCUGGCCCUCUCCCCACAGUAUCAUUCAUCUAUCACCUCCACAGAGUCCUCGUCCUUCCUCUGCUCUGAGUGCUCCUCUGUUGUUUCUGUGUUCUCAGUGUCUGACAGCGAUGCCACCUGUCGCACCCAGCCACUGUCACUGAGAGGCUUUGGAUGACGCAGUCCGGAGAAGGGGUUGAACCAGUUCAGGGAAAAGUCCCCACCAAAGGUCUCUUUGACUGACUUCCAGCUGCUUGUGCGUUCCCUGGGCUGGUGCUUUCGUUUGAGGCGCUCAAUGCCCUGGAGGGACAAUGGGAUAAAGAGGGUCAGCGUGGGACAGCCGUGCGCCAUCUAACACACCCCAGGUCCCGGCACAGCAGAGCACCAAGGCCCAGAGCCAGGGGUUCCCAGAGGGUGGGGAGGGGCUCGGAGCAGCACAGCAAGCAGGGCCUGUGUUUCCCACCAACUGCCCUCCUUUCCUUCCACAGGAGCAAGGGUGCCCGGCCAGCUGCUGCGCAGUGACCAGGCUGCCCAGUGGCUAAGGGCCAAGGAGUAACAUCUCAGGCCUCUGCAGGCAUGAGCUGGGCCAUCUGUCCGGAGACCACCCAGAAAGACAACCCCUCCCCAAGUAUCCUGGGCCACUCCCCCAGGCGCAGCAAACCCAGCACGAAGGAGGAUGAUGCGGUUAAGGGGGAGAGCAGGAGACACACGAAGCGUGAGGUGAGGAAGCAGAGGUGUGCACAGCGAGUGCCAACAUGCAGCGGGCAGCUGGAGGGUGCACGGGGCUGCUGCGAGGGGGCAAAGGCUGGCGUCGAAACUGCACAUGCAGUAGACAUGCCCUGUGGCCUCUCCCGAGCUGCCCACUCACCUGCCUCUGGGUGUCGGCUGCGCCAGGCCACAGAAGAGGGUGUUGGGAAGGGGGAGAAGCCAAAGGAGUUAAAGGCACAGCCAGGCCAGCUCUCCAGGCCCACCACACCCUCUGCAGAGGCUUUACCCCCACUGGGGCUCUGCCUCCUCCAUCUCUUCUGGAAGCCAAGGAGAUUUGUCGUGGGCUUCCCAGGCACAGGUACUGCUCACUGACAGCACUUUCCACCUCGGAAUGACCUCUGAGUAACUAGUUCUAGGUUUUCUCUUCUUUUCCACACAAGAUCCUUACAUAACCAGCAUAAUUCUUUCUGUUGUGCAGAAGGAGAAACUGAGAUACACGUACAGACUGAGAUCUGGCCACACCUGGGCCAGUUCCUCUCCACCACUCUUUCUUCCCACACCAUCUCAGAGGUUUAAGUUUCUUGGCUUUUGGAAAAAUGGUAGGUUAAAGAACCUGAUCUCAAAGUAUCUCCUCAUAAGAUACUUCCUAAUUACCGAGGGUAAAACAGUACCUUUACGGUAAGGAAACUUCGCAGAUAUAACUUUAACCAAUUGAAGUUAACAUCACCAAUAAUGAAAUGUAUCAACAUCACGUGCCCUCCGAUACGGUGUCCCGAGAAGGACAGAACAUCACUUCACUGGUUUUCCUGCCCAAAAGGCAUAAUCUCAAUCUAAUUAUGUGAAAACAUCAGACAAAUGCAGAUGUCAGGAUAUUCCACAGAAUAUCUUCAACAGGAUAAUAAUCUUCAAUAGGAUCAAAGUCUGAUGAAAUUGUUUUGGAACCAGACAGAAGUGGUGGUUGUACAAUAUUAUGAACAUACUAAAUGCCACUGAACCACACACUUUAAAAUGGUUGCUUUUAUGUGAUGUGAAUUUAACCUCAACUAGAAAGAGGAUCAGGUUCAUGAAAGACAGAGAAAGACUGAGGAGGAACUAAAGACACAGGACAAAGGAUGCAAUGUGGCAUCCUGGAACAGAGAACGAUACUAGUGGGACAACUGGAGAACUCUGAAUAAAGUAUAUAGAUUAGUUAAUGGUAUUGUAUCAGUAAAUUUCCAGGUUUUUAUAUUUGUGUUAUGGUUUUAUAAAAUGUUUACAUUUGGAAAGAUUGAUUGAAAGGCAUAUGGGAGCUCUUUGUACUAUUUUUACUAAUUUUUUUUUUUUUGGUUAAGUCUGAAAUUAUUUCUCAAUAAAAAGCUAAGAAAACUCUGAGACACGAUUUAUGCAAUACAGUCUUGAACACGGAUUAAUAAUGAGAAGUUGGAAACAAUCAAAAUGUCCAAUAAUGAUGGCUAAGUAAAUUAUUCUAUAAAGCACAACACUAUGCAGUUAUUGAAAGUGGCAUCAACGACAAGGGCCUAAUUUUCAAAAUAUACAAACAGCUCAUACAACUCAAUAACAAAAAACAAAUAACCCAAUCCAAAAAUUGGCAGAAGGCCUAAACAGACAUUC